CUGUACUCCGAAUGCAUCUANUAUUAUGAGUUUGAUCAUGGCUCAGAAUCAACGCUGGCGGCGUGCCUAACACAUGCAAGUCGAACGCGAAAGUGGAGCAAUCCAUGAGUAGAGUGGCAAACGGGUGAGUAACGCGUGGGUGACCUGCCUUCGAGCGGGGGAUAACGUUCCGAAAGGGACGCUAAUACCGCAUGACAUCCUGCCUUUGAACAGGCGGAAAUCAAAGCUGGGGAUCGCAAGACCUAGCGCUCGAAGAGUGGGCCCGCGUCCGAUUAGCUAGUUGGUGAUGUGUAUACGGCGUCACCUAAGGCUAACGAUCUGGUAGCCGGCCUGAUGGAGGGCGGACAGGCCACACUGGGACUGAGACACUGGUCCCAGACUCCUACGGUGAGGCUAGCAGAUGCGAGGAAAUUUGUUCG
This 419-nucleotide ribosomal RNA is filed under the name uncultured bacterium. RNAcentral describes it as "bacterial SSU rRNA". It matches the Rfam family "Bacterial small subunit ribosomal RNA", at positions 1 to 370 of the family's 1533-position model. The record is from RNAcentral.